This 207-nucleotide long non-coding RNA is filed under the name Salvia miltiorrhiza (redroot sage). RNAcentral's name for it is "long non-coding RNA (SMIL_LNC008671)". The record is from RNAcentral. Lineage: Eukaryota; Viridiplantae; Streptophyta; Magnoliopsida; Lamiales; Lamiaceae.
UGGGAUCGACCCUGCUUACCAUUAUACUAAUUUAUUUUGGUAAUUCCGCAGGAAUUAUUUGGUGGUUGGCGACGUCCACCACAUUGGCGUCGUUGCCGGGGAGCGGUGUUAAUCUAAUUCUUUUCCCUUUGAUCUAUUUUCCUUUUUUUAUUUUCUUUUGUUUAUGAGCAGAUCUUCUAGGCCGGAACUCCUAUACGAAAGUGAGAU